Molecule: ribosomal RNA, 484 nt
Filed under: uncultured bacterium
Lineage: Bacteria
Description: partial 16S ribosomal RNA
Rfam family: Bacterial small subunit ribosomal RNA
Source: RNAcentral
AUUGAACGCUGGCGGCAGGCCUAACACAUGCAAGUCGAGCGGAUGAAGGGAGCUUGCUCCUGGAUUCAGCGGCGGACGGGUGAGUAAUGCCUAGGAAUCUGCCUUGUAGUGGGGGAUAACGUCCGGAAACGGGCGCUAAUACCGCAUACGUCCUGAGGGAGAAAGUGGGGGAUCUUCGGACCUCACGCUAUCAGAUGAGCCUAGGUCGGAUUAGCUAGUUGGUGGGGUAAAGGCCUACCAAGGCGACGAUCCGUAACUGGUCUGAGAGGAUGAUCAGUCACACUGGAACUGAGACACGGUCCAGACUCCUACGGGAGGCAGCAGUGGGGAAUAUUGGACAAUGGGCGAAAGCCUGAUCCGGCAAUGCCGCGUGUGUGAAGAAGGUCUUCGGAUUGUAAAGCACUUUAAGUUGGGAGGAAGGGCAGUAAGUUAAUACCUUGCUGUUUUGACGUUACCAACAGAAUAAGCACCGGCUAACUUCGUG